Molecule: long non-coding RNA, 804 nt
Organism: Aricia agestis (brown argus)
Lineage: Eukaryota; Metazoa; Arthropoda; Insecta; Lepidoptera; Lycaenidae
Exons: 3
Source: RefSeq, a predicted model, not a curated record
CACGAGCUAGUGACACGGGAGCAUCACAUCGGCUCGGCUCGGGCGUCGGCGCGCGCUCUGCGGACGGAUGCGGGAGCACGCAAGAAAUCAUCGGGAGAGAUGCGUGACGCAGCGCGCAGGACCGGCGCCCCGCCCCCCGCGGUGCGUGUGCCGAGUUCCCCCGCGCCCGAGCCUGCUCCCGCCGCUCGUGCAAAAAAACAUCGAUAGCCGCGCUAGCUGCAGCCGGCGGACCGGGCGCCCGAACACGACUCCCGCGUGCAGCGCUGCUGCGGAGCGGUGCGUGUGAUGCAGGCGGUGCGUGCGGCCCGGGCGGCAGUCGCUCGUAGCGCGCGCCCACGGGGGGUCGCUCUCGCUCGCCUCGACGCGUCUCUCGCGGUGCACUCGCGACACCGGCUCCCGCCGCGCUCCUGCACCGCCCCGGUGCGCCGACACGUCCCGCCGAGAGCAUAUUCACACUUUUAAUUCAUGCCGGCCGAGUUCGUCGCGUAGUGCCGCUGCGAAUUUAAGCGGACCCGACGCACCUCUCGGAGGUGAUCCGGUCCCUUUAGGUGCGUUUAAUUGAAUACCUUCCCCGGUAUCGAGUGAGCGGUCCCGAACAGUCGCGCAACAAGUGUUGGCGGCAGUACGAAGUGCCUCGCAUUUUUGUUCCCGUAUUUUGCAAUUAAACUCUUGAGAAAUUCUGAAUAUUUUGUUGAAUCAGUGGUUUGUGAUUAAAAACGUGCUGUGCUUCCCCUCGUCAUGUUUUAAAGUGAUGGGUGAGGUGUGCGCGGUGUCGGCCGCGCGGGACGGCGUGGCGGGCGCGGU